This 301-nucleotide ribosomal RNA is filed under the name uncultured bacterium. Its description in RNAcentral is "partial 16S ribosomal RNA". It matches the Rfam family "Bacterial small subunit ribosomal RNA", at positions 509 to 808 of the family's 1533-position model. The record is from RNAcentral.
CAGUAGCCGCGGUAAUACGUAGGGUGCGAGCGUUAAUCGGAAUUACUGGGCGUAAAGCGUGCGCAGGCGGUCCGCUAAGACAGAUGUGAAAUCCCCGGGCUUAACCUGGGAACUGCAUUUUGUGACUGGCGGGCUAGAGUAUGGCAGAGGGGGGUAGAAUUCCACGUGUAGCAGUGAAAUGCGUAGAGAUGUGGAGGAAUACCGAUGGCGAAGGCAGCCCCCUGGGCCAAUACUGACGCUCAUGCACAAAAGCGUGGGGAGCAAACAGGAUUAGAUACCCGAGUAGUCCCUGUCUCUUAUA